UACGGAGGGAGCGAGCGUUAAUCGGAAUUACUGGGCGUAAAGCGCACGCAGGCGGUUUGUUAAGCUAGAUGUGAAAGCCCCGGGCUCAACCUGGGAUGGUCAUUUAGAACUGGCAGACUAGAGUCUUGGAGAGGGGAGUGGAAUUCCAGGUGUAGCGGUGAAAUGCGUAGAUAUCUGGAGGAACAUCAGUGGCGAAGGCGACUCCCUGGCCAAAGACUGACGCUCAUGUGCGAAAGUGUGGGUAGCGAACAGG
Molecule: ribosomal RNA, 253 nt
Filed under: uncultured bacterium
Lineage: Bacteria
Description: partial 16S ribosomal RNA
Rfam family: Bacterial small subunit ribosomal RNA
Source: RNAcentral